Molecule: long non-coding RNA, 2404 nt
Filed under: Homo sapiens (human)
Lineage: Eukaryota; Metazoa; Chordata; Mammalia; Primates; Hominidae
Description: PREDICTED lncRNA (TCONS_00218509)
Source: RNAcentral
AGAAGUCUGUGGAAGGUGUGGGAUGGGAUGACAGCAUCAGAAAGAAUUGGGCAAAUCUGUCCCAGGACUAGGUCAGAAAAACGCCUCCCUAGGGAAGGUGCCACCCCAAACACGUGUUUCUGAGACCCCUUACCCGAAAUAAGGAGGCUGCCAAGCGAUACUUGAGGUUGGACCAGAUGAUGUUUUCUUGAGAGAAGCAGAAAACGCCAAGUCGGCCUCCACGCAUUGUGGUGUCUAUGGUGACGCCAGAGUCAGCCACCAACUCAGAGCCUUCAUAAAAUCGUACCCUGCGGACAACACGGCCGGAGGGGCCUCCAUGAAAUCCAACCCGGGGUUCCCCAUCCUGCGGUCACAAAAGUCCUGGCAUGUCCUUGGGGACUAUCCUAGGUCAGAAUUGCUCAGGGAAAUGAAGGCUCUGGGAUGCAGAACGGAGAAUGCUUUGCUUCUAGAGCAAGCCUCCCCUCCCCAGACCAGCUCCGUGGCUGGAGAAUGCACAGGAAGCGUGACCAUUCAUGGAGCUGUCCCUGAUUGGAGUGGAGGUAGACAUACAGCAUGGCGCCGUCUGGCCCUGCCAGUCACCUGCCAAAGACGGAAGGUUUCUCCCGGAGGGACUAUGACAGUCCCCACCUCUACACGAUGGCCCACCCCCAACAGGAGCGUCAAGGCAGACAGACUCUGGAAGUUGUAAGGAUGAGGACAGUUAGAGAUGACAGCAGGUACUCAUUGCUGGCAGGAAUCAGGCAUCAGAUCCAUGCCUUCUUCUUUGCUUACAUGUAAGAUCAUGUGAAUGUUGAUGAAAACACCAUCAGACUGGAGGCUGCGUCCGGCCACUCAGACAAAGAAGGAAUAGAAGUGAAGGAAGAAGGCUGGACUGUGAACCAAUGACACUGAGUUGCCCGCGCCACCGUGGAGGGCAUAGGGGACAGGUCAAAAGUUCCAGUGAAGUCCUGGGAGGUGGUGUGAGAAGUUUACUCUGGGGACAGGGAGAUGAUCUGCUUAAAAAGCAAGUUAAUUUUUCUUAUUGCUGUUCCUUUGGCUCUUUUACAAUGGAAUGACAAAGGAAUGGGUGCACAGAGAAAUGCUGGUGGCCUGCAUUGAGAAUUUCUGAUGAGGUAGGCUGAGAAACUGACAAAUGAGCUGUCAGCUCCGCUGCAAUGACACUUCAGGGGCCAGGUUUUUUUAGCUUUUAUAUAUAUAAUAUAUAUUAUCACACUGCACACUAUAUAUGUAAUAAAUAUUAUACAAUAUGUUUAAAAAAUGAAAAUUAAAAUUUUCAUCUUUAUUGAGGUAUAAUUGACAAAACUGAAUAUAUUUAAAGUGUGCAGUGUGAUGAUGUGAUAUACGUAUACAUUGUGAAAUGAUUACCACAGUCAGUUAAGUAACACAUCCAUCAACUGACAUAGUUACCUUCCUUUUUUUCUUUUUCAGUGAGAACACUUAAGAUCUGCUCUCUUAGCAGAUUUCAUAUAUAUAAUAUAGUAUUAUUAACUACAGUCACCAUGCUGUACAUUAGAUCUUUUUCAUCUUAUGCAGUUUUAUUGGCAUAACAUUUACAGGUCGUAAAAGACAUCCAUUUGAAGUAUAUAUAUUGUUUAAUGAUUUAAGUCACUCACAACCUCUUAGUUGCCAAAUCCAAUGCAUGCUUUCCAAUGACUUGUCUCGAUCUUUCAGCCUCCCUGGCUGUGCUAUCAGUUCGCUCCUUUUUCUGGCUUCUGCUCUUUUUCCUUGGCCUAGUCCUUCGUUUUUGGGGUUUCCUGGAGUUCUAUUUACUGUCUACUUUCCUUCUCUCUAGGUGGCUCAGUUAUUACCUUUACACCAAGAUCUCGCAAAUCUAUUUGCAGACUACUUUGUCCUGGUAAAAGCUGAGAAGCAAUAAAUCCCCAUCUAUUCCUAAGCAAUAUAGCAUUGCGGAGAAGAACUCAGGCUCUGUAGCCAACCUGGAAGAUGUGUGACCUUAGUCUAAAUACGUAACAUUUCUUUUUUUUCUUUUUGGAGACAGGGUCUCCCUCUGUCACCCAGGUUAGAGUGCAGUGGCGAUCACAGCUCACUGUAGCCUCAAACUACUCUUGUACCCAAAUGAUCCUUCGGCCUCAGCCUCCUGAGGAGCUGGGACUAUAGGCAUGCUCCACCAUGCCUGGACUUAAUGAUGUAAUAUUUCUGUCCCUCAGUUUCUUCAAUUGUAAAAUGGGGAUAAUAAUAAUCCCUGUUUAUGAGGUUGUUGUGAGGAUUAAAAUAAGUGACUUGAUAAAUGUAAAGUGUUUUUACUUACAAGGAAACAAGGAACCUAGAGGCUGGAUAACUUUCAAAUAGUCAUACACGUAAUCAGUAGUUCUUUUCUUGAUAGUCAACUCUGGUACAUCUCUCAUCUUGGACACAGUUUGACAGGAACUUUCAGAAAUAAAAC